GCCAAUGUGUACAAGAUUCUUCUGUGUCAUUCAGAGUAAUGAGAUCCUGUCACCGCUUCUUCCUGAACUGCAGUCAUUGACAAUGUAUUUGCAUAUUCAUUUGGGAGCACUUUGAUCUAAAAACCAAUCAUCGGAGAAGUCAGUCUAAUGUCUGAGAAUUCUUCUGGCAGUCAUUCUACACCAUUCUACACAGGACUGAGUCACCCUGCAAAGGACUGCACAGUACUCUCCUGGCAGGUAGAACCAGAAGGUGGAGAACCAAGCAGGAAAUAAAUAGAAAGAAUGAAAAGACCAACUAGGGAUUUAAGGAUUUGGGCUGCCAAUUUUACAGCCUAACAACAAUGAAAAUAAUUAAAAUGGCAGUGACCAAAACAGUCAAGAUAUUGACAAUCGCCAGUGAAUUCAGCAACUUAAAUAAAAUCAGCAAUGGAUGAGAUUUAAGAAUUCCAAGAAGUGAUGAAGACCCACUGCUUCCAGCCUCAAGGAUUUUGCAAUCUUCUCUUCACUUCAUCAAGGACAUCAGUGCCACGUCGCCUAAAUGCAGAAUUUAAUAACCCAAUAGUCUGCCUCCAAGAGAAAAUAAGCUGAAACUCUACGCAGGUGAAGAAGAUAUGGAAGCCAAAUAAAAUGCAUUGUUUUUGUACACAGUUCCAGAGCUAAUGGCAGAUUGAGAAAGUUAACCAUUGCCUGCCCCUCUUAUAACUAGUAUUUCCACUGAGAUGGGUUUUUUUGGAUUCCAUUUCACCCCUUUUCACCUCUCACCUCUAGAUUAACCCUGCUAAAUUCUUCUUUUCUAUGAUGUCUUAUAUUUCAACCUGCUUGUGCCUUGUGGGAUUAAAAGCUAAAUACUCUUUAACAAGAGUAAUCCCCUAAGUGGACAAUGUUUCUGAGACAGCGAGGCAUUUGAUCACAACGGAAAGAAGGCAAAGCAGAGAAAAGGUAUGAAAGGGAAGACAGGUUUCAAGAUUUGCGCCUUAGUAAUAAUUGCUUGCAAAGGGGCUUUCCAAGCCAAUAUUUGCAUGAAAACAGGCCCAUUCUUAAUUCCCAAGAAUAAGCUUAUUUUUCCCUCUUCCUCUGAGAGACCACAUUGCCCCAAGGAACUGAACGCCAACAAAAGAGGACUUCUACUUGACAUUUCUGUUUCUGCUCC
This is a long non-coding RNA of Tupaia belangeri chinensis (Chinese tree shrew), 1150 nucleotides long. RefSeq lists it as uncharacterized. The transcript is spliced from 3 exons. Lineage: Eukaryota; Metazoa; Chordata; Mammalia; Scandentia; Tupaiidae. The record is from RefSeq and is a predicted model, not a curated record.